UAAUCAAGUGUUUUUAUGGCACUUUAAAUCCAUAUCCACCUUGUGUGCAAUGUCAUCUCACUGGGGUUACGUUUGUAAAAUUUCGUGAUCCGUUUGGGAUUUAUAUCUACUCAGAACUUUAGUCAUUUUGUCUGAAACAUAUUAUGAAUAACUUAAUUCAAAAUA
This 165-nucleotide unclassified non-coding RNA is filed under the name uncultured Mortierella. RNAcentral's name for it is "sequence contains ITS1". The record is from RNAcentral. Lineage: Eukaryota; Fungi; Mortierellomycota; Mortierellomycetes; Mortierellales; Mortierellaceae.